RNAcentral lists this unclassified non-coding RNA (262 nucleotides) under Hevea brasiliensis (rubber tree). Lineage: Eukaryota; Viridiplantae; Streptophyta; Magnoliopsida; Malpighiales; Euphorbiaceae. The record is from RNAcentral.
CAGAAUCUGCACCGGUAACACCUGCCUUCUAAAUCCACCAGAAAAAUUCUCCCCAUGAGUUCCUACAACUCCUACCUGUGCCCUCGCAUGCCCACCCAAAUCAAACUCAAUAGUUUACUUGAGGAAUGAGACGACCGAGGGCCUAAACAAUCAACAAAUGCCAUAUGGCAACUGGCUACUGGCUAACCACCACAGAAUAUUCUAUCUGAUUCCAUAUUUUUUUCUCCUUUUCUUUUAAUGAUAUAUUUAAACGACGUUUUCU